Molecule: transfer RNA, 67 nt
Filed under: Pantoxystus rubricollis
Lineage: Eukaryota; Metazoa; Arthropoda; Insecta; Coleoptera; Curculionidae
Description: tRNA-Ser
Source: RNAcentral
GAAUCAAGGAAAUCUAGAAAAAGCUUCUAACUUUAUUCUAAAGCGGUGAAAUUCCGUUUAUGAUUCU